CCUACGGGUGGCUGCAGUGAGGAAUAUUGGUCAAUGGGCGGAAGCCUGAACCAGCCAAGUAGCGUGCAGGAUGACGGCCCUACGGGUUGUAAACUGCUUUUAUACGGGAAUAACGCGCCUUACGUGUAGGGCUUUGCAUAUACCGUAUGAAUAAGGACCGGCUAAUUCCGUGCCAGCAGCCGCGGUAAUACGGAAGGUCCGGGCGUUAUCCGGAUUUAUUGGGUUUAAAGGGAGCGUAGGCCGCAUGUCAAGCGUGCUGUGAAAUGUCCGGGCUCAACCCCGCCGAGCCGUCGGAACUGGGGGCCUUGAGUGCGGCGGAGGCAUGCGGAAUGCGCGGUGUAGCGGUGAAAUGCAUAGAUAUCGCGCAGAACCCCGAUUGCGAAGGCAGCGUGCCGUGCCGCCACUGACGCUGAGGCACGAAAGCGCGGGGAUCGAACAGGAUUAGAUACCCCAGUAGUC
This 459-nucleotide ribosomal RNA is filed under the name uncultured bacterium. Its description in RNAcentral is "partial 16S ribosomal RNA". It matches the Rfam family "Bacterial small subunit ribosomal RNA", at positions 338 to 795 of the family's 1533-position model. The record is from RNAcentral.